Molecule: ribosomal RNA, 255 nt
Filed under: uncultured bacterium
Lineage: Bacteria
Description: partial 16S ribosomal RNA
Rfam family: Bacterial small subunit ribosomal RNA
Source: RNAcentral
UACGAGUGCCUCGAGCGUUAUCCGGAAUUAUUGGGCGUAAAGGGUGCGUAGGUGGUUCCGUUAGUCCCAUGUUAAAUUUCCCGGCUCAACCGGGAACCUGCACGGGAAACGGCGGAACUAUAGAGGAUGGAAGGGGUUUGCGGAACUCAUGGUGUAGCGGUGAAAUGCGUUGAUAUCAUGGGGAACACCAAAAGCGAAGGCAGCAAACUGGUCCACUCCUGACGCUGAAGCACGAAAGCGUGGGUCGCGAAUGGG